GGACGAACGCUGGCGGCGUGCCUAACGCAUGCAAGUCGAGCGAUGAUGGUGUCUGAAGGUGAUGAGCUGGAAGCUGCCAUCUUAACGGCGGACGGGUGAGUAACACGUGAGCAACCUACCCUCAGCACGGGGAUAACAGCUCGAAAGGGCUGCUAAUACCCGAUGGGACCACGUCAUUGCAUGGUGAUGUGGUGAAAGGGUGGACGUAAGGUCCAUGCCGGCUGGGGAUGGGCUCGCGGCCCACCAGCUAGUUGGUGGGGUAACGGCCUACCAAGGCGACGACGGGUAGCCGGCCUGAAAGGGUGACCGGCCACAGUGGGACUGAGACACACACCACCCUCCUUCGUGAGGCAGCCGCCGGGAAUGUUUCGCAAAGGGUGAAAGCCUGCCGCAGCGACGCCGCGUGAGGGAAGGAGCCCUUCGGGGUGUAAACCUCUUUGGACGGGGAGAAGUAUGAGAUAGUACCCGUUUAAAAAACCACGGCUAAAUACGUGCCAGCAGCCGCGGUAAUACGUAGGUGGGGAGCGUUUUCUCGAAUUACUGGGGGUAAAAGGUGCGUACGCGGCCUGCUAACUUGAGCGUGAAAUUUUUGGGGUCAACCCAAAAGGAGCGUUCAAGACUGCCAAGAUUGAGUGCGGGAGAGGACGAAGGAAUUCCCGGUGUAGCGGUGAAAUGCGUAGAUAUCGGGAGGAACACACCAGGUGGGAAGGGCGACUGUUUGAAUCUGUACUGUAGCGUCUGAGCCACGAACGCUGGGGGAGUAACACGGAGUUUGAGAUCCCUGUGGAUAGUCACACGGUGUAACGCGAUGGUAUGUCUAGGUAUGGGGUGCAGAGCACUCUGUGCGUGCAGCUAGUUACACUCAAGUACGCAUGCCUGCGUGAGGGACGUAUCGGCAAGCAUUGGAUACACACUCAAAGGAAUUGAGGGCCGGCACACAGCAGCGGUGCAUGCAUGUUAUUUAUUAGCAAGCGCGAAGAACCUUCCUUAGCAGGGACAUCCACCGAACCCUGUGGAAACACGGGGGUGCGUUUCGGGGAACGGUGAGACAGAGCCCGGACACAGGUGGUCAAUGGUUGUCGUCAGAUGGUGUCGUAAGUUCCGCAACGAGCGCAACCACGAGCGCAACCCCCAGCAAUAGUUGCCAGCACUCAGAGCGGGGCACUUUAAGGGGCCUGGAGGAAAGGGGGGAGAGGAUGGUGUGGUCAUGCCCAAUUCAUUAUGGGCUUCACACGUUGGGCAACGCCCGGUACACAAAGGGGCAUACCCAGGAGGGGGAGGUAAUGUCCAAAACCGAUUCCAAAAAAAGCACCCCCAGUUAAGUUUCCAGGAUGCAACUGGCGUGCAUGAAGUUGGAAUAGCUAGUAAUCGCGGAUCAGCAUGCCGCGGUCAAUAUGUUCCCGGCCCGUGUCCACACGAGAGCUCACAACACGAGAAUCCGCAACACUAGACGACACAGGGCACAGCUGUUGAAGGUGGGGCUGAUGAUUGGGGU
Molecule: ribosomal RNA, 1495 nt
Filed under: uncultured bacterium
Lineage: Bacteria
Description: bacterial SSU rRNA
Rfam family: Bacterial small subunit ribosomal RNA
Source: RNAcentral